ACUCCUACGGGAGGCAGCAGUGGGGAAUUUUGGACAAUGGGCGAAAGCCUGAUCCAGCAAUGCCGCGUGAGUGAAGAAGGCCUUCGGGUUGUAAAGCUCUUUUGUCAGGGAAGAAACGGUGAAAGCUAAUAUCUUUUGCUAAUGACGGUACCUGAAGAAUAAGCACCGGCUAACUACGUGCCAGCAGCCGCGGUAAUACGUAGGGUGCAAGCGUUAAUCGGAAUUACUGGGCGUAAAGCGUGCGCAGGCGGUUUUGUAAGUCUGAUGUGAAAUCCCCGGGCUCAACCUGGGAAUUGCAUUGGAGACUGCAAGGCUAGAAUCUGGCAGAGGGGGGUAGAAUUCCACGUGUAGCAGUGAAAUGCGUAGAUAUGUGGAGGAACACCGAUGGCGAAGGCAGCCCCCUGGGUCAAGAUUGACGCUCAUGCACGAAAGCGUGGGGAGCAAACAGGAUUAGAUACCCUGGUAGUCCCA
Molecule: ribosomal RNA, 471 nt
Filed under: uncultured organism
Description: partial 16S ribosomal RNA
Rfam family: Bacterial small subunit ribosomal RNA
Source: RNAcentral